Molecule: non-coding RNA, 1088 nt
Organism: Peromyscus maniculatus bairdii (prairie deer mouse)
Lineage: Eukaryota; Metazoa; Chordata; Mammalia; Rodentia; Cricetidae
Source: RefSeq, a predicted model, not a curated record
GUUAAUGCAAGGCCAUAGUCAACUCCUGGAGCCCCACCCCCACCCUGCUUCACACACACUCCCUCAGAACCAAACUUCACUCCAUCUGGACACAGGGUAUUGAUCGGGGAAGGUUGCCAGAGCUCCUCAGGAUUCUCUCUAGGCCUAAUGUGCUCUAAAUUAAAGAUUCACUUUCAUUAAAGAAAAUGAAAAGAAAAGGCAAUAACAGAGAAUGACAAGGAAGAAAAAAAGAUGCCAGGUCUUUGCCCAAUAAGGGCCCCAAAGGACAGUACAAUCAAGAAUGAGGGAGGAGAGUUUGGUGAGGUGGGAGUGAGCGUCAGGGAUGAGCUUUCCCUGUAACUUCCCUACCCUAAAUAAAGGAUUAGGAGUUUGCACACAGAAAGAGAAAAGUCAGGACAACCACAUGCGGGGUGGAAGAGUGAACGCAGACACCAUUGUCUUCCCAACGGAUUAAAGCCAACUGGCAAAUGUUCGUUACAGAAAUUUGUUGAGGUGGUUUCCUAAUAGGCAGGCUUCCCCGGGUGAGUUUCUUGUGGACAAAUGGAGCCUGAAGUAUUGUUGAAUGAUCUCUGCAACAUUGCCAGGAAGGGCUGUACCCAUCUGCUAUAAAUUGCAGGUUUUCUGCCUCUUAAGAGCCAAUGUUGUAGAGCUGCUGAAAACCUCAAACGCAUUUAAAUACAGAAGCAAACCCUCCAAAGGGGGAUAGCUAGGUGCCGAGCUAUUUGCUGGCUUCCACACCGAAAGCUCUGGCAUUGCGGCACCGCAUCGUCUAAGUUUCAGGAUGCAGCUGUAGGUAGAUGCAGGAUCAACCUGUACCAGCUACAAGGAGGAUAAAAGAUCAACCUCUCUACCUUUUAUGGACAAGUCAUAGAAUUAGCCUGUCAGCGUGUUAUGUGCCUCACCAAGGACAUUCUCACAUGGAGCAAACUCUUUUUUGUGAUGAAGCAGAAAAUAUCCAUUGUGGUUUGUGGGUCAUCAUCUCUUCUGAAACUGCUCUACUCUUUCCUUAUAACACAAAAGCUACAAUAUAACCAACAAUGUAAACAAAUGAGAUUGUUUUCUAAUAAAGCUUCAUUUACUCAAAAGCA